UACGAAGGGGUCUAGCGUUGCUCGGAAUCACUGGGCGUAAAGGGCGCGUAGGCGGCUUAUCAAGUCGGGGGUGAAAGCCCGUGGCUCAACCACGGAAUGGCCUUCGAUACUGGUAGGCUUGAGACCGGAAGAGGACAGCGGAACUGCGAGUGUAGAGGUGAAAUUCGUAGAUAUUCGCAAGAACACCAGUGGCGAAGGCGGCUGUCUGGUCCGGUUCUGACGCUGAGGCGCGAAAGCGUGGGGAGCAAACAGG
RNAcentral lists this ribosomal RNA (253 nucleotides) under uncultured bacterium. Its description in RNAcentral is "partial 16S ribosomal RNA". It matches the Rfam family "Bacterial small subunit ribosomal RNA", at positions 524 to 776 of the family's 1533-position model. The record is from RNAcentral.